AGACUCGACGCCUUCCGCGUCUUCAAACUCCAUGGCCGCCAAGUCGUUCGCGCCCUUGACAACCUUGUGAACCCAGCGCGCGUUGGCCAGCUCUGCGAGGUGGUUGUGAAACGACGUGUCCGCGUAGAGCGGGAAAGAAGGCGACGUCAAGCUCGUGUACUUGAGAUCGCCGUCGACGUAGAACUCAAUCGCGCCCGCGUCGUUCACGAUCACUUGGAAAGUCUCACCCGCGACGAAGACGCCGGCAUCGAACUUGUUCACGCCCUUCUCUUGGAAUCGGACCUGAUUGCCGUUGCAGAACACGGCGUAGUCGAUGGUCGUUUGGCUGUGGCCCGAGGGCGUGCUCGACAAGCCAAACUGCAAGUGCCUGUUGUCGGUGCGCAUGCAGUCGCCGGAAAUGCCGCGAAUCUCGUCGCCGACUUUCGUGAUGGCGCGCGCGCUGUACGCGCCUCUUGCCCAGUUGUUCCCGCCUUGAGUACGUUUGAGGUAGCCCUGUUUGCCGUCCGUCGUCAUGCCCUGCGAAAGUCCGACCCACUCGAUGAGAUCCAAGUCGUUCGCACCCUCGUGGACAGUCUGUAUCCAGGAGACUCGAGAGAAAGACGCGCCUGCAGUGUUGAAGCGCGCGGUGGCGUAGAGCGGGAAGGCAGGCGCCUCAUCAGACGUCGCAAACGCCGCGCCAUCCUUGUAGUACGUGACGACGCCCGAGUCGAGCACGACCACUUGGAACGUCUCACCGACGAAGUAAUCGCCAAAGUCGCCGUCGCGCACGACGCCGUGUUCGGAGAUGCGGAUCACGCCGUUGUCGCACACAAUGCCGAAGUCGACCACCUCGUCGACGGAGUUCGUCGAGCCAGAGUUCAAGCCAAUCAUCAUGGACUUGUCCGUUUGGUCGCAAUCCGCGGAGACGCCACGCACUUCGUCGCCGAUCUUCGUGAUGGCACGUUUGCUCGUGGCGCCGACGUUCCAGCCACUGCCUGCCAUUGUGCGCGUCACUUGGCCCGCGGAAGACUCGACGCCUUCCGCGUCUUCAAACUCCAUGGCCGCCAAGUCGUUCGCGCCCUUGACAACCUUGUGAACCCAGCGCGCGUUGGCCAGCUCUGCGAGGUGGUUGUGAAACGACGUGUCCGCGUAGAGCGGGAAAGAAGGCGACGUCAAGCUCGUGUACUUGAGAUCGCCGUCGACGUAGAACUCAAUCGCGCCCGCGUCGUUCACGAUCACUUGGAAAGUCUCACCCGCGACGAAGACGCCGGCAUCGAACUUGUUCACGCCCUUCUCUUGGAAUCGGACCUGAUUGCCGUUGCAGAACACGGCGUAGUCGAUGGUCGUUUGGCUGUGGCCCGAGGGCGUGCUCGACAAGCCAAACUGCAAGUGCCUGUUGUCGGUGCGCAUGCAGUCGCCGGAAAUGCCGCGAACCUCGUCGCCGACUUUCGUGAUGGCGCGCGCGCUGUACGCACCUCUUGCCCAGUUGUUCCCGCCUUGAGUACGUUUGAGGUAGCCCUGUUUGCCGUCCGUCGUCAUGCCCUGCGAAAGUCCGACCCACUCGAUGAGAUCGAGAUCCCGUGAACCUUUAUGAACAACUUUUAUCCACUUCACAUUUUCGAGGUGUCCUCCACCUUCAUCAACGUAUCCAUCGGCAAACAAUGGGAAGAUCGGUUCUCUGCUACUAUUGUAGACAGAAUGUCCUUCUUUAUAAUAGUGAACGAUACCCUCGUCAUUAAAUGCGACCUGGAACGUUUCUCCCGCGAGGUAUGUUCCGAUCGUGGCCAUAAGCUCACCGUCUUCGUAAACUUCCAUUGUUCCGGCAUUGCAACCAACGGCAUACUCAAUAGCAUCGCCAUCCGAGGGUGUGUAAUGAGCGCUGCUCAAACCGAAUAUCAUUUUCGUUGUUGUGUCACUGCAAUCCGCAGAAAUACCGCGAACUUCGUCAUAAAUUUUAGUUACGGCGCGUUUACUUGUCGAGCGCACAAUGUCCAUUUUUUCAGGUGUAACCGGCAAGUACACGUCGCCGUGUGACACUUCACAUCGCUGGACUGUUUCAAAGUCCAUCAUGUUUAGCCAAUGCAUGUGGCUUAGCUUCGCACCUUCGGUGAAGAUUCGAGCCUGGGAGUAAAGAGGGAAUUCAACACUUUUAGUGCUGACAUGAAGAACAUUACCAUUUUGCAGAUACUCGAUGACACCAUGCUCGUUGAUGACGAUAGAAAAUGUCUCUCCAGGGCUGUACGCCGAAGGAGGCUCGACAAUGCGCUCGUGCCUUUGGAAGGCUGACGCAUUGUGUUGGUCAUUUAUGUAUUCGGGUGAAUCACUAUCCAAUGAAUCAAGUGCCAAGUCUGGCGAAGUACCAAGAUGUGUUGAAGGCGGUGGACCUUGAGCAUCGUUCUCCGGGGUCGGGACUUGAAGUUGGCCUUCAAUCCCAUGUGGUGUAUUCGGCUCGGGACGUCGAUGUGGCUCGAUUGUUUUGAUGACAACUCCAUCUUCAAGGAGACGCAACGUUCCGGCAUCACAGUAUAUCGCAAAGGACAGGUUCGUCUGCGCCGGAGCAGUAGCGGUUUCAUUCGCAGCGGUUUCAUUCAACUGAGCAUCUUGAUCACCUUGCACCAUGAGUCCAAACAUCAUCUGUGACUUGUUGUCGGAACAAUCGGCAGACACGCCUUUUUUGGUGUCAUUCCAACCGCGAAUUGAUGAACGACUCGUUGCGAAAGCAAGUAAUGAAGCUUCUUCGAUGCGUUUUGCCGCCUCUUCACUCAACACGUGAGCGAGAGAUCCAGGUGUAAGAGUCGCAUUCUCAGGUAGAAGGAACUCAACAGGCUCAAGGUCAUCGGCACCUUCAAUGAUUCGGUAAACCCAGCGCGCGUUGGCCAGCUCUGCGAGGUGGUUGUGAAACGACGUGUCGGCGUAGAGCGGGAAAGAAGGCGACGUCAAGCUCGUGUACUUGAGAUCGCCGUCGACGUAGAACUCAAUCGCGCCCGCGUCGUUCACGAUCACUUGGAAAGUCUCACCCGCGACGAAGACGCCGGCAUCGAACUUGUUCACGCCCUUCUCUUGGAAUCGGACCUGAUUGCCGUUGCAGAACACGGCGUAGUCGAUGGUCGUUUGGCUGUGGCCCGAGGGCGUGCUCGACAAGCCAAACUGCAAGUGCCUGUUGUCGGUGCGCAUGCAGUCGCCGGAAAUGCCGCGAAUCUCGUCGCCGACUUUCGUGAUGGCGCGCGCGCUGUACGCGCCUCUUGCCCAGUUGUUCCCGCCUUGAGUACGUUUGAGGUAGCCCUGUUUGCCGUCCGUCGUCAUGCCCUGCGAAAGUCCGACCCACUCGAUGAGAUCCAAGUCGUUCGCACCCUCGUGGACAGUCUGUAUCCAGGAGACUCGAGAGAAAGACGCGCCUGCAGUGUUGAAGCGCGCGGUGGCGUAGAGCGGGAAGGCAGGCGCCUCAUCAGACGUCGCAAACGCCGCGCCAUCCUUGUAGUACGUGACGACGCCCGAGUCGAGCACGACCACUUGGAACGUCUCACCGACGAAGUAAUCGCCAAAGUCGCCGUCGCGCACGACGCCGUGUUCGGAGAUGCGGAUCACGCCGUUGUCGCACACAAUGCCGAAGUCGACCACCUCGUCGACGGAGUUCGUCGAGCCAGAGUUCAAGCCAAUCAUCAUGGACUUGUCCGUUUGGUCGCAAUCCGCGGAGACGCCACGCACUUCGUCGCCGAUCUUCGUGAUGGCACGUUUGCUCGUGGCGCCGACGUUCCAGCCACUGCCUGCCAUUGUGCGCGUCACUUGGCCCGCGGAAGACUCGACGCCUUCCGCGUCUUCAAACUCCAUGGCCGCCAAGUCGUUCGCGCCCUUGACAACCUUGUGAACCCAGCGCGCGUUGGCCAGCUCUGCGAGGUGGUUGUGAAACGACGUGUCCGCGUAGAGCGGGAAAGAAGGCGACGUCAAGCUCGUGUACUUGAGAUCGCCGUCGACGUAGAACUCAAUCGCGCCCGCG
This 3973-nucleotide long non-coding RNA is filed under the name Ostreococcus sp. 'lucimarinus'. Its description in RNAcentral is "long non-coding RNA (OLUC_LNC000043)". Lineage: Eukaryota; Viridiplantae; Chlorophyta; Mamiellophyceae; Mamiellales; Bathycoccaceae. The record is from RNAcentral.